CACGAUUUCUAAGGCGGACGUGUUCGGUAGUGUUAUAUUAAAAAACACUGUCGACGUCAUAGCUGGAUACUCGUGCAUCUUAACUAUCACGUGCUCUCUCGUAGGAUGUCGUCACAGUUGAAGUGAUCAGUUAUCUCGAUUAUUAUAACAGAACAUGAAUUAAAGGACAAGGAAAAGAUAUCGGAAGUGUAACUGUCAAAAACAGGACGACCACAGUUCGAAACAGAAAUACUACUUUCUUUGGUUACAAAAUAGAAAAUAAUAAGAAAGAAGUAUCAGAAAGGACAGAAGUCAAGGGAGAACGUCACAGGAACAGGUAUUGU
Molecule: long non-coding RNA, 323 nt
Organism: Centruroides sculpturatus (bark scorpion)
Lineage: Eukaryota; Metazoa; Arthropoda; Arachnida; Scorpiones; Buthidae
Exons: 3
Source: RefSeq, a predicted model, not a curated record